Non-coding RNA from Pelobates cultripes (western spadefoot toad), 201 nucleotides. NCBI's taxonomy places the organism in Eukaryota, Metazoa, Chordata, Amphibia, Anura, Pelobatidae. The record is from the annotation of a GenBank genome assembly.
UGGAUAGUUACUGCAUGGGUGAUUAUCUUUCAGCUGGCAACAAGUUAUUUAACCCCAACUGAUGCAAUGAGUAGCUUCUCAUUUCUUAAACAACCAUGUCGAAAGACACAUCCCGUGGUCGUGGAAAAGAUGUUAGUCUGUUUGAGAAGGGUCAAAUCAUUGGCAUGCAUCAAGCAGAGAAAACAUCUAAGGAGAUUGCAG